RNAcentral lists this long non-coding RNA (504 nucleotides) under Panax ginseng (ginseng). RNAcentral describes it as "long non-coding RNA (PGIN_LNC012930)". Lineage: Eukaryota; Viridiplantae; Streptophyta; Magnoliopsida; Apiales; Araliaceae. The record is from RNAcentral.
AACAAAAUGAAUUACUACAAGUUAAAAACACCAACAAUAAAAGCCGUUCCUCAAAUUAUCACUACUUAAUACUACAUUAAUGAGGGAUGAAGCUUUGGCAGGAAGAUUAGGUCGACAGUUUAGGAGAAUAGAAAAGUAGAAGUUAUAUGGACUGAUUACUUAUCUGAAAUCCUAAAACUUAUUGAAUUCUAGCCGAUCAGAGCCAACCAUGCAUCUUUAGAUCUUGAGAUUACCUACAAAAAAAUGAUGACAAAUAAGUGAAUAGCUAUUUCCUAAACAAAAAUUAAACGAUAAGGGGUUAACGACUGAAGCAACUAGGGAAGAGAAAGAGUCAAAUUGACUGUAUAUAAAACAUGGUAUUCAAUAACUAAAUUCGUGACCGUAAUCAAGCAUACCCUUCGAAGGAAUUCAAGCUGUUCAUGGAGAUGACAAGCAGAGUAAUGGGUUUCUCAAAUCCGACUCGUUUGAGACCUCGAGUAGUUUAUUUUGCUCAAACUCGCUUCA